Molecule: ribosomal RNA, 468 nt
Filed under: uncultured bacterium
Lineage: Bacteria
Description: partial 16S ribosomal RNA
Rfam family: Bacterial small subunit ribosomal RNA
Source: RNAcentral
GACGAACGCUGGCGGCGUGCUUAACACAUGCAAGUCGAACGGAAAGGCCCUGCUUUUGUGGGGUGCUCGAGUUGCGAAGGGGGGAGUAACACGUGAGUAACCUGCCCUUGACUUUGGGAUAACUUCAGGAAACUGGGGCUAAUACCGGAUAGGAGCUCCUGCUGCAGGGUGGGGGUUGGAAAGUUUCGGCGGUUGGGGAUGGACUCGCGGCUUAUCAGCUUGUUGGUGGGGUAGUGUCUUACCAAGGCUUGGAAGGGUAGCCGGGCUGAGCGGGUGACCGGCCACAUUGGGACUGAGAUACGGCCCAGACUCCUACGGGACGCAGCAGUGGGGAAUAUUGCACAAUGGGCGGAAGCCUGAUGCAGCAACGCCGCGUGCGGGAUGACGUCCUUCGGGUUGUAAUCCGCUUUCGCCUGUGACGAAGCGUGAGUGACGGUAAUGGGUAAAGAAGCACCGGCUAACUACGUG